UUUCCCCCGGGGGGCCCCGGGCCCGUCCCGCCGCCCCCGCCCGCCUACGGGAGGCAGCAGUGGGGAAUAUUGCGCAAUGGGCGAAAGCCUGACGCAGCGACGCCGCGUGAGGGACGAAGGCCUUCGGGUUGUAAACCUCUUUCAGCAGGGACGAAGCGAAAGUGAUAGCGA
Molecule: ribosomal RNA, 171 nt
Filed under: uncultured Actinomycetes bacterium
Lineage: Bacteria; Bacillati; Actinomycetota; Actinomycetes
Description: uncultured actinobacterium partial 16S ribosomal RNA
Rfam family: Bacterial small subunit ribosomal RNA
Source: RNAcentral